GGUUUNAAUUAANCUNGGUAACGCAGNUAACGCGUGAAGUAGACCGCCUGGGGAGUACGGUCGCAAGAUUAAAACUCAAAGGAAUUGACGGGGACCCGCACAAGCGGUGGAUGAUGUGGAUUAAUUCGAUGCAACGCGAAGAACCUUACCUACCCUUGACAUGUACGGAAGACCGAAGAGAUUUGGUUGUGCUCGAAAGAGAACCGUAACACAGGUGCUGCAUGGCUGUCGUCAGCUCGUGUCGUGAGAUGUUGGGUUAAGUCCCGCAACGAGCGCAACCCUUGUCAUUAGUUGCUACAUUUAGUUGAGCACUCUAAUGAGACUGCCGGUGACAAACCGGAGGAAGGUGGGGAUGACGUCAAGUCCUCAUGGCCCUUAUGGGUAGGGCUUCACACGUCAUACAAUGGUACAUACAGAGGGCCGCCAACCCGCGAGGGGGAGCUAAUCCCAGAAAGUGUAUCGUAGUCCGGAUCGCAGUCUGCAACUCGACUGCGUGAAGUUGGAAUCGCUAGUAAUCGCGGAUCAGCAUGUCGCGGUGAAUACGUUCCCGGGUCUUGUACACACCGCCCGUCACACCAUGGGAGCGGGUUUUACCAGAAGUAGGUAGCUUAACCGUCAAGGAGGGCGCUUACCAGCGGUAGGAUUCGUGAGCUGGGGUGAAGUCGUAACAAGGUACC
This 677-nucleotide ribosomal RNA is filed under the name uncultured bacterium. RNAcentral describes it as "bacterial SSU rRNA". It matches the Rfam family "Bacterial small subunit ribosomal RNA", at positions 826 to 1500 of the family's 1533-position model. The record is from RNAcentral.